This 497-nucleotide ribosomal RNA is filed under the name uncultured bacterium. Its description in RNAcentral is "partial 16S ribosomal RNA". It matches the Rfam family "Bacterial small subunit ribosomal RNA", at positions 28 to 507 of the family's 1533-position model. The record is from RNAcentral.
GAUGAACGCUGGCGGCGUGCCUAAUACAUGCAAGUCGAGCGAACGGACGAGAAGCUUGCUUCUCUGAUGUUAGAGGCGGACGGGUGAGUAACACAUGGAUAACCUACCUAUAAGACUGGGAUAACUUCGGGAAACCGUAGCUAAUACCGGAUAAUAUUUUGAACCGCAUGGUUCAAAAGUGAAAGACGGUCUUGCUGUCACUUAUAGAUGGAUCCGCGCUGCAUUAGCUAGUUGGUAAGGUAACGGCUUACCAAGGCAACGAUGCAUAGCCGACCUGGGAGGGGGAUCGGCGACUCUGGAGCUGAGACACGGUCCAGACUCCUACGUGAGGCAGCGGUAGGGAAGCUUCCGCAAUGGGCGGAAGCCUGACGGAGCAACGCCGCGUGAGUGAUGAAGGUCUUCGGACCGUAAAACUCUGUUAUGAGGGAAGAACAUAUGUGUAAGUAACUGUGCACAUCGUGACGGUACCUAAUCAGAAAGCCACGGCUAACUACGUG